GACGAACGCUGGCGGCGUGCUUAACACAUGCAAGUCGAACGGAAAGGCCCUGCUUUUGUGGGGUGCUCGAGUGGCGCACGGGUGAGUAACACGCGAGUAACCUGCCCUUGUCUUUCGGAUAACUUCACGAAACUGGGGCUAAUACCGGAUAGGAGAUCCUGCUGCACGGUGGUGGUUGGAAAGUUUCGGCGGUUGGGGCUGGACUCGCGGCUUAUCAGCUUGUUGGUGGGGUAGUGGCGUACCAAGGCUUUGACGGGUAGCCGGCCUGGGAGGGUGACCGGCCACAUUGGGACUGAGAUACGGCCCAGACUCCUACGGGAGGCAGCAGUGGGGAAUAUUGCACAAUGGGCGGAAGCCUGAUGCAGCAACGCCGCGUGCGGGAUGACGGCCUUCGGGUUGUAAACCGCUUUCGCCUGUGACGAAGCGUGAGUGACGGUAAUGGGUAAAGAAGCACCGGCUAACUACGUG
This 468-nucleotide ribosomal RNA is filed under the name uncultured bacterium. RNAcentral's name for it is "partial 16S ribosomal RNA". It matches the Rfam family "Bacterial small subunit ribosomal RNA", at positions 28 to 507 of the family's 1533-position model. The record is from RNAcentral.